This 402-nucleotide ribosomal RNA is filed under the name uncultured bacterium. Its description in RNAcentral is "bacterial SSU rRNA". It matches the Rfam family "Bacterial small subunit ribosomal RNA", at positions 29 to 477 of the family's 1533-position model. The record is from RNAcentral.
AGCGAACGCUGGCGGCAGGCUUAACACAUGCAAGUCGAACGCCCGGGCAACCGGGAGUGGCAGACGGGUGAGUAACACGUGGGAACAUGCCCUUCGGUUCGGAAUAACUCGGGGAAACUCGUGCUAAUACCGGAUACGUCCGUAAGGAGAAAGAUUUAUCGCCGAAGGAUUGGCCCGCGUCCGAUUAGCUAGUUGGUGGGGUAAAAGCCCACCAAGGCGACGAUCGGUAGCUGGUCUGAGAGGAUGANCAGCCACACUGGGACUGAGACACGGCCCAGACUCCUACGGGAGGCAGCAGUGGGGAAUAUUGGACAAUGGGCGCAAGCCUGAUCCAGCCAUGCCGCGUGAGUGAUGAAGGCCCUAGGGUUGUAAAGCUCUUUCGGCGGGAAGAUAAUGACGGUA